RNAcentral lists this long non-coding RNA (9344 nucleotides) under Malus domestica (apple). Its description in RNAcentral is "long non-coding RNA (MDOM_LNC017684)". The record is from RNAcentral. Lineage: Eukaryota; Viridiplantae; Streptophyta; Magnoliopsida; Rosales; Rosaceae.
UCUUUCUCUCUCCUCCUUCACGAUUUCUCACUCUCUCUGUCUCUCUCCUUCGAACUCACACGGACCACCACCAAAACCACCCUAAAUCUAUACCAACGUCAAGUUUGAGACCACCAUUGGAAUCCUGAGGACUUCACGAUCACGUUGGUAUCCAUUUCAGGUAAGUUUUACUUCGGAAAACCUAGAUUCUAAACUCCCCAUGAAAGUGUACUGUUCAUGAGCUUUGAAUUGGUUGAUUUUUAGGACAAUCCAAGCUCAUAGUGAGCUUAGUGAGGUCCCAAGGAAGCUCGGAGUGCUUCGUUGGAAGUUUUUGGACGUAAGAACACGGAGAUCGACAAGUUCAAAGUUUGGCCGGAGCUUUCGAGGCGUUUUCCGGCGAAUCCCCGGCGAGUUAGGAGUCGAGGUAGGUAUCAAUCUCUUCGUCUCGUCAAGUACUACACUUUCCUUUUUGUUUCACUCAAUUUCGUUGAGUAUUGAAGAAGUUAUACUCAUUUGAAAAAUACCCAGUUUCCGGCGACCUCCGAGGCUUUCGAGGCAGUUUCCGGCCAAACCACGGCGAACUAGGUGUUGUGCAAGGUACCAUUCUCUUUGUCUCUUCAAGGGCUACAACUUUCGUUUUUGAAUCACUUGAUUUAGUUGAGAAAUGACAAAGUUAUGGCAAUUUGAAAAACUGUUCAGAAAACGGCCGCCGGAAAAACCAGUCCGGCGACCCAAGGAAGAAGAAGGUGCUACAGUAAAAAUAAAAAAUAAAAAUAAAAUUAUUUUAAAAAUAUGUCGACGUCCGUGACGUCGAGUAGAUCACUGUGGUAUAUUCAUAUACCUAAAUUGAACACCAUAUGAGAAAGUUAUUGAAGAUUGUUGGUUAGGUGUUCAAAUAACGUUUUAUAGUUUUCACAUUUAGGUGAAAAUGUGAAUUGAUGAUUCGACCGUUGGAUCAUCACCAAACUUUGAUACGUUAUAAUACGUAAUAUUUGAGGAUUAUUGGAACUUACAGAUUGGGAAUCCGAUUUGCGGAUCUUCCGGAAUUGGAAUUGUAAGUCCAUAAUAUAAAAUGUUAACCGUCACUUAGUUUUGGAAAUUGACAGAGAUCCGACCGUUGGAUGGUAAUGAAAUUUUAGGAUGUUGUCCUAGAGGUAUAAUGUGGACCUCUGGAAGUUAUGGAUUUAAAAUCUGAGUGGCAGAUCUUCCGGAUCGAACUACGUAGUGACGUAUUUUAUAUAAGUUAAAUAUUCUAUCGAUAUGAAUUCUGAGGUUGGAUUUGAUUACUAUUUUAGGCGGCGAUCGUCGUGACGCCUUGAUGUGUGGUGCUAGGGAGUUGUUGGAUGAACUCCAGGUGAGUGGGCAGUUUUGUUUUCCGUAUAUAUAUAUAUACUUAACGUUUUCCCAUAAAUUGAAAAUGCAUGAAAUUAUGUUUAAAAUGAAAUGCAUAUGAGUUAUGUGGAAAAAACGGGAAGUGAAAUACCAUGCAUAGAAUUGAUAUGAAAAGUAUAUAGAAAAUGUGAGUUGAAAUGCCAUGCAUGAAUUAAUAUAUGAUGCAUAUGUAUGAAUUGGUGCGGUGGACGCACAGGUAAGAAUUGAUUUAUGAUGCAUAUGUAUGAAAUGGUGCGGUGGACGCACAGAUGAGUAUUUAAUUACUGUUAUGAUGAUGAUGAUAUAUAUUGAGCUCAAAUCCUGCACCAUGGUUUAGUGCUUAUAGUAUUCACCGCAUCGCACGCUCGCCUUGGAUCCAAGUAGAUGCUAGUCGUACAGUCCACGCGGAGUGGGUACGACAGACCAGUCGCGAGAGUGUUAGUGAGAUUCCGACUGGUGGGUGACCUUAGAUUAUGUGCACAGAUGAUUUAUGAGAAGCACUAGAGCGUAACUUGUGUGCAGAAGGCCGGACGGGUCACAGAGGUGACUCCGGUAGAGUGAUAAUGAUAGAUUUUGAGCUCUAGGUUCAACCGUAUAGGGCUAUUAGAGGGCCUACGGUUGAUUACUUUCUUGCACCUGAUAUGAUUAUGUUGAUGCAUUCAUACCUUAUUACUGUUGAGAUGAUGUGGCAUGGCAUAAUUAAUAUGAAAAAUGUUGAGAUGACAUGGCAUGGCAUGAUUGAUAAAGAGAUAAUGUUGAGAUAGUAAAAAUGAAGUUUUGAGAAUAUAUAUGUAUAUUUAUAUUUUUUUACAUUUCUGGGAAAGUAUACAGGUUUUACGGAGAGGGUUACAACGUUUUGAGAAAUGUUUGGAUUUGGAAAAGAAUUGUUUACUGACCCACUCAAUUUUGGUUUUGCGCCCCUCCAGGUUCAGGAAUCACAAAGGUGUGGUGACUACGAGGAAUACAGCGGGGUUCUGACAGAUUGGACAAAAUUAGGACUCACCUUCGGGUGUAUCAACUUAUAAAUUGUAUAAUUAAAGCUUCCGUACUGUGCAAAUGGUUACGUCACUCUCACGUGACGGCCAGCAUGCCCUCCUUCGGGACAGGGUGUGUCAGUUGGUAUCAGAGCAUGGUUGCAAUCUUGGACAUCUUGAGAAGUUUAUAGUGAAUUCUGUCAGAACUACACCGCCUCGUAGCAAACCACGUAGUUAGAGGAAUUCCCUAGAUUUAGCGGUUUGGGGGAAACUAUUAUUAUGGUGAUUCAGUAUAUUAUCAAAAUGGACAUUUUAAGACGGGUUAUGAGUUGAAUUUGAAUCACCUUAUGGAAUGAUCAACCUGAGGGAGCGGAGUGACGGUUUAACCAAUUGGAAAAGAUGUUUCAGAUUAUGCAAGUCAAAGGAAAUUUCCUUCUGACAGGUGGGUCGAGACGACUACCUGGUUUUGGGUAUGAAUUUGCAUCCUGGUGGAAACAGGAAUGUUAAUUGUUGUCACCAGAGGAAUCAGCCGAUUUAAAAUUUUUUAAGGAAAAGUUUAUCCCUCCGGCAUUUAUUGAUGGUAGUAAACAAGAGUUUACAAAUAUGAGACAAGGAAGGUGAUGAUCGAGGGAUAUUAUAGAAAGUUUUCAGACUUGCCUCGUUCCAUCCAGAUAUUGUUGUUAAUUUGGUGGAGGUGUUAUGUUGUUUUAAGCUGGGUGACAAAAGGGAAGUGGUAUUUUGGGUGACCACUAUCCAUUGUAGUUCUUAUCAGGAGUAUGCUAGAUGUUGUUGAAUCUUGAGGACUCUGAGAACAUGAGCAACGAGAAUAAAGAAGAAUAAGAAAUGAAUGGGAAUUAAAAGAAGACGAUAAAGUUAAUGAUUCGUCAUAUCAAGGAUAUAGAAAGAUUUAGAGCUUCGAAAGAAGUGAAGCUAGAGUUAAUUCUUCUAGCUGAGGUUUUAAUGUCGCUGGUCAGAGUAAAAGUGAUGGAUAUACUGGUAAUCCCAGAUAUUUGAGACAAGGUGUCUCGAGUAAAGGAAAUGUACUUUGUGCAGCAGGUACAAAAUUAACACUUUGGGAAAUGUGAAAUUAAUGAAUGUGUUUAUGUGAACAGAAGGGACACAGAGUUGUGAAUCGUCCCUAGAAUCAGUUGUACUCAACAAUUUUCCAUGAAAUCAUAGUGUCGAUUCAGCAGAGUUAUGGAUUUAGUAGUUUGGUCGGAUUGACCGUGAGUACAGAGAUAUUUGAUGAGUUAUAUGUUCAGCUGUACGGACCAUGAGAAAUGGAUUUGACUGACACAUGAGAAAUUGGUGAGUUAUAGGCUCGGCCGUGCCGACCACGCGGAGUGGAUCCGGCCGACGUAUUAUUGAGAUAAGAGUUGAAUCAACCGUAUUGGUCAUUCUAGUUGACUUCGGCUGAUAUAUUUCUUAUUAUGUAUGAUAUUACCUAGAGAGUGGUAAAUAAAUGUAGUUGAGACGAGUGUAUGUAUUUUGCAUUGAGUGACAAAAUAGUAAUGUUAUAUCUUUGUGAGUGGUUGCCUACUUAUCGAGACAACGAUGAUUUAUCAGUAUUGCGGGCUGCAGACCGUAAUAUUAAUAACUCAUUCGUGGAUUCGUUAAGUAAGUAAACCGGUAGAUUAUUUUAUGUUAGUAUUGUACUUAUUCAGAAUGCUUAGUAGUAAUAGAGUAUGUAUUGUGUCGGUUAAUUAUUAUUCCAUUAGAUUGGUUGGUUAUAAUUGUGACAAGACGGAAUGUUAAGGGAAACCAGUACUUUCCAUCGAUCUGGAUGACCAGAGAUUACUUUUGUAAGUAUGCAAAGUGAAGUGAGUUCAGCCAUUAUUUAUGCUGUGAAAGCAAAUAGAUUGUUUUGAAAGGCUGUCAAAAAUACUUAGCUCAUGUGGUGCUAAAUGAUGUUGUUUGGAGUAGUGUGAAUAAUGUCGAAAGGGUUAGACUUUUCUUGAUGUCUUCUCUGAAAGUAUACCUGGAUUGUCUUCAGGCAGAGAUAUGAGGUUCAUUAUUGAUUUGUUUGCCAGGUAUAAAUUUAUGUUAAAGAUUGGUUCAUGAUGAGUUAAGGGAAUUGGAAAUUCAGUUGAGAGAAUUGGUUGAUAAAAGUUUUAUUCAACCUAGUACAACACUGUUGAGGAGCACCAGUUUGUUGGUGAGAAAGAAAAUGGACUUUAAAGACUAUUCCUUGAUUAUAGAUAAUGGAGUCGGGUAACGAUUGAGAACCGUUAUCCAUGGUGAUGUACUGAUGUUUAUUUAACCAGCUCAAAAGUAAUUGCGAAGAUUCAAAGAUUGAAUUGAGAUCUGGUUACUACCAAUUGAAUAUUAUAAGUGACGUUGAUCAUAAGAUGGUUUUCUGGAUUUGUUAUAGUUUUUAUGAAGUUUGGUGAUGCUAUAUGGAUACUCAUGCUGUUUUAUGAGUUAUUGGAUGAAGUAUUCCAAUAAUGCCUUGAUAAAUUGAUAUCAUUUCCAUUGAAGAUAUUCUGGCAUAUUCUGAGCCAGAGCAGAGUAUGUAAACGUAUUAAGUCAAUGAAGCAAAGAUUGAGAGAACGUUAGUUGUAUGCUAAGUUUAGCAAAAGCUAAAGUUAAAUGGAUCAAGUGGCAUUCUAAAAUUUGUUAUGUCUGCUUAAGGUAUUCAAGUGAAUCCUUAAAGGAUAGCAGAAAUUGAGAAUUUGGAACAACCACGAGUCGUAAUUGAGAUUUGGAAUUUCUUAGCUUACCAGGCUAUUUUGGAUGGUUGUGAAAGAAUUUUAGUCAUUACUUUGUCAUUAACGAGACUGAUGAGAAAAGAGGUUAGGUAUGAGUGGGAAGGAAUUGUAAGCAAAGGAUUCAACAACUGAAGUAUUUCCUCACUCAUGCACGUAUUUUGGUAUUCCCAGAGAAUAGUGGUAAUCAUAAAUUUUUAGUGAUGUUUCUUGAAUGGUAUUGGAGGCAUGUUGAUGCAAAUGUUAGGGUGAUUGCAUACGUUUCACGAUAAAUGGAAUCUCAUAAGAUGAAUUACCCUACUGGUGAUUUGGAAGUCACGAUUACCAUUCUUGCUGUGAAGUUAUGGAGACAUUAUAUUUUAGUAGGAAUGCAAGAUUUUUUUUUACGAAUCCAAAAAGUCUUCAAUAUCCAUUACUUGGAAGGAAUUUGAUAUGAGGCAGCGAAAGUGAAUUGUAUUGCUUAAUGAACAUGAUUGUACGAUCAGGGUGAUCGUAAAGUUUGUUCUAGCUGAAGCACUUGGUGAGAAGACUACAGUAAGAUUAAUAUCUGGCACGUUUGCCAAGAGUAUCAUUUUGUGGAUUGAAAACCAACGGAAGAAAAAUUAAGAAUGGAAGAUCGAGAAGAAGUAUACUUGUUAAGUAACAAGUUAGUACAUUUACCCCAGUGUUGAGUAACAACCUUUCCCAGACAGUGCAACACUACUUAUUUGUUUUAUGGAAAAGAGAAUUGGAUUACGGAACUGCUAAGUUUCUUAAGUAUGUUGGUUGUGCAGUUUCCGAAGUAACGCCAUAAGGACCAUGAAAUGUGUCACGUGAGUCGGUUUUUGAUGACUUGUGAAUGGAAUGUUUCUGGGUAAAGAAAGAUUCGAUCGAGAAAGAGUUUUAGUAGACCCUGAGACUAUGGAUGAGUCUCCUCAAAGUAUUCAGGUGAUUAAGUUAACCUAAAAGUAACCAGGAAUGACAAAAGACAUCAACAGAUGGAUAUGCCACUAAUCGAGUAUAUAAGGUAAAUGGUUUUAUAUUUUAGAAGUGUUCACCUUAGAAAAGUAGAAUUUGGAUUGGAAAAAGAAGGUCCUGAGAGUUAAGAUAGAGUAAAUGGUAAAAGUUUUGUGAAUGAAUCAUUCAGUGGAAGAAAAUUACGUGGGAGAAAAAGAAUCGGAUGAAAAAAAAAAACUUACCGAGGUUGGUAUAAGUGUUGAUGAAUUGGUUGGUUGCUGGAAUUUCGGGGACGAAAUUCUAUAAGGAGGGAAGAUUGUCACAGCCCGUUCCAAAUUAUUAUAUUCGUGGCUGUGAAUGGACAAAAUUGCCCUUAAGAAAUACUAAAUUUGUGAAGCUCAGGUUGCUAAUUAUCUAGGUUCCUAAGUUUGAAAAUAAAAUGGAAUUUAAUAAGGAUGGAACUUAGAUUUUUAGGUUAAAAUGUUAAAGUUUGGUGUUUGGAGAUUGGAAUAAGGACCACGUGGGAUCCCCACAUCCCUCAAAACCCUCCUCAUUUCCCGUUCACUGUCUUUCUCUCUCCUCCUUCACGAUUUCUCACUCUCUCUGUCUCUCUCCUUCGAACUCACACGGACCACCACCAAAACCACCCUAAAUCUAUACCAACGUCAAGUUUGAGACCACCAUUGGAAUCCUGAGGACUUCACGAUCACGUUGGUAUCCAUUUCAGGUAAGUUUUACUUCGGAAAACCUAGAUUCUAAACUCCCAUGAAAGUGUACUGUUCAUGAGCUUUUGAAUUGGUUGAUUUUUAGGACAAUCCAAGCUCAUAGUGAGCUUAGUGAGGUCCCAAGGAAGCUCGGAGUGCUUCGUUGGAAGUUUUUGGACGUAAGAACACGGAGAUCGACAAGUUCAAAGUUUGGCCGGAGCUUUCGAGGCGUUUUCCGGCGAAUCCCCGGCGAGUUAGGAGUCGAGGUAGGUAUCAAUCUCUUCGUCUCGUCAAGUACUACAACUUUCCUUUUUGUUUCACUCAAUUUCGUUGAGUAUUGAAGAAGUUAUACUCAUUUGAAAAAUACCCAGUUUCCGGCGACCUCCGAGGCUUUCGAGGCAGUUUCCGGCCAAACCACGGCGAACUAGGUGUUGUGCAAGGUACCAUUCUCUUUGUCUCUUCAAGGGCUACAACUUUCGUUUUUGAAUCACUUGAUUUCGUUGAGAAAUGACAAAGUUAUGGCAAUUUGAAAAACUGUUCAGAAAACGGCCGCCGGAAAAACCAGUCCGGCGACCCAAGGAAGAAGAAGGUGCUACAGUAAAAAAAAAAUAAAAAUAAAAAAUAAAAUUAUUUUAAAAAUAUGUCGACGUCCGUGACGUCGAGUAGAUCACUGUGGUAUAUUCAUAUACCUAAAUUGAACACCAUAUGAGAAAGUUAUUGAAGAUUGUUGGUUAGGUGUUCAAAUAACGUUUUAUAGUUUUCACAUUUAGGUGAAAAUGUGAAUUGAUGAUUCGACCGUUGGAUCAUCACCAAACUUUGAUACGUUAUAAUACGUAAUAUUUGAGGAUUAUUGGAACUUACAGAUUGGGAAUCCGAUUUGCGGAUCUUCCGGAAUUGGAAUUGUAAGUCCAUAAUAUAAAAUGUUAACCGUCACUUAGUUUUGGAAAUUGACAGAGAUCCGACCGUUGGAUGGUAAUGAAAUUUUAGGAUGUUGUCCUAGAGGUAUAAUGUGGACCUCUGGAAGUUAUGGAUUUAAAAUCUGAGUGGCAGAUCUUCCGGAUCGAACUACGUAGUGACGUAUUUUAUAUAAGUUAAAUAUUCUAUCGAUAUGAAUUCUGAGGUUGGAUUUGAUUACUAUUCUAGGCGGCGAUCGUCGUGACGCCUUGAUGUGUGGUGCUAGGGAGUUGUUGGAUGAACUCCAGGUGAGUGGGCAGUUUUGUUUUCCGUAUAUAUAUAUAUACUUAACGUUUUCCCAUAAAUUGAAAAUGCAUGAAAUUAUGUUUAAAAUGAAAUGCAUAUGAGUUAUGUGGAAAAACGGGAAGUGAAAUACCAUGCAUAGAAUUGAUAUGAAAAGUAUAUAGAAAUGUGAGUUGAAAUGCCAUGCAUGAAUUAAUAUAUGAUGCAUAUGUAUGAAUUGGUGCGGUGGACGCACAGGUAAGAAUUGAUAUAUGAUGCAUAUGUAUGAAUUGGUGCGGUGGACGCACAGGUAAGAAUUGAUUUAUGAUGCAUAUGUAUGAAAUGGUGCGGUGGACGCACAGAUGAGUAUUUAAUUACUGUUAUGAUGAUGAUGAUAUAUAUUGAGCUCAAAUCCUGCACCAUGGUUUAGUGCUUAUAGUAUUCACCGCAUCGCACGCUCGCCUUGGAUCCAAGUAGAUGCUAGUCGUACAGUACACGCGGAGUGGGUACGACAGACCAGUCGCGAGAGUGUUAGUGAGAUUCCGACUGGUGGGUGACCUUAGAUUAUGUGCACAGAUGAUUUAUGAGAAGCACUAGAGCGUAACUUGUGUGCAGAAGGCCGGACGGGUCACAGAGGGUGACUCCGGUAGAGUGAUAAUGAUAGAUUUUGAGCUCUAGGUUCAACCGUAUAGGGCUAUUAGAGGGCCUACGGUUGAUUACUUUCUUGCACCUGAUAUGAUUAUGUUGAUGCAUUCAUACCUUAUUACUGUUGAGAUGAUGUGGCAUGGCAUAAUUAAUAUGAGAAAUGUUGAGAUGACAUGGCAUGGCAUGAUUGAUAAAGAGAUAAUGUUGAGAUAGUAAAAAUGAAGUUUUGAGAAUAUAUAUGUAUAUUUAUAUUUUACAUUUCUGGGAAAGUAUACAGGUUUUACGGAGAGGGGUUACAACGUUUUGAGAAAUGUUUGGAUUUGGAAAAGAAUUGUUUUACUGACCCACUCAAUUUUGGUUUUGCCCCCCUCCAGGUUCAGGAAUCACAAAGGUGUGGUGACUACGAGAAAUACAGCGGGGUUCUGACAGAUUGGACAAAAUUAGGACUCACCUUCGGGUGUAUCAACUUAUAAAUUGUAUAAUUAAAGCUUCCGUACUGUGCAAAUGGUUACGUCACUCUCACGUGACGGCCAGCAUGCCCUCCUUCGGGACAGGGUGUGUCAUAUAUAACCGACAUGAUUUUUCUAAUAUCCGCCACCUAAAGCUAAUAUUGUUGUAGUGUGUGGUCAGGGCUCAAAGCGAAUAAUAUCGUGCUACGGAGGAGUCAGGACUGGGAUGUGACAUAUGACGUGUCACCAAUAUGUUAAAUUUAGUGCUCAUCAUUGGUUAUACAUAUCAAUUAAAGACUCGAAAAUAUAUUCUUUUUAGUCCCAUAUUGACAAAGUUAGUAAAUAAGAAGAAAAACACUUCAUGAUUUAUAUAAAAACACUUUAGAAGUUCAUAUAUAAGGGAAA